Molecule: long non-coding RNA, 460 nt
Filed under: Medicago truncatula (barrel medic)
Lineage: Eukaryota; Viridiplantae; Streptophyta; Magnoliopsida; Fabales; Fabaceae
Description: long non-coding RNA (MTRU_LNC003216)
Source: RNAcentral
GCUAAAAGAACUACAUAUACUCGUCAUAACUAAGAACAUGAAGGUUAUACAUAUACUCUUUCACUUGUUAAAGAAAGUUUAGGUAUAAAAAGGUUUAGGUAAGUUAGAAAUCAAAACUACCAAAGGUAAAAGAAAACUUCAAAAUUCAAAUAGCAAUAAUCUAUAAAAGUACUUGUAGAUCACACAUCAAAUAAAUCUUUACUUCAACAUUAAGAGUUGAAUUCACGUCUCUCUUAGUAAUAUGGAUCAACUUCUUAGGAUCAACUUCUUUACUUCUACUGAUCACAAUACUGAAUUUUUUCAUCCCACUUUGUCACUAGUCCAUUUCAAUGCUGACUCCGUUUUCAUCAAUGCUGAUGCUCGCCAUGUCAAGAAAGGGGAUGCUUUACUUUUCAAUAAAUCAAACAUGGAAAAAGACAAAAAGUUCAAAAUGUGACCUUUUGAAAAGGAUGAAUCAACU